Molecule: ribosomal RNA, 468 nt
Filed under: uncultured bacterium
Lineage: Bacteria
Description: partial 16S ribosomal RNA
Rfam family: Bacterial small subunit ribosomal RNA
Source: RNAcentral
GACGAACGCUGGCGGCGUGCUUAACACAUGCAAGUCGAACGGAAAGGCCCUGCUUUUGUGGCGUGCUCGAGUGGCGAACGCGGGAGUAACACGUGAGUAACCUGCCCUUGACUUUGGGAUAACUUAAGGAAACUGGGGUUAAUACCGGACAGGAUCUCCUGCUGCAUGGUGGGGGUGGGAAAGUUUCGGCGGUUGGGGAUGGACGCGCGGCUAAUCAGCUUGUUGGUGGGGUAGUGGCUUACCAAGGCUUUGACGGGUAGCCGGCAUGGGAGGGUGACCGGCCACAAUACGACUGCGAGAGGGCCCAGAGGCGAACGGUGGACAGGGGUGGCAAUCAUGGCCCAGUCGGACGGAGUCGGAUGCAAGGUCCUCGGGUGGGGAAAGCCUGUUUGUGGGUAAUAAACCGCUUCAGCUUGUGACGCCGCGGGAGUGACGGUAACGAGAAAAGAAGCACCGGCUAACUACGUG